CACAAAACCUAAAUCAAACCCCACCAAGUUCAGGAGAUCUCCACCAUAUCUCCGGCGUGUGUUCGCCACGACCACCGCCAAUUCCAACUUCCACAAACCCUAACUAAUUUUAGUUACCACUUAUCAUUAACGCUCUCCUCUGAUCUACUCUCCUCCGCAUCCCAAAUUAAGCGUAUGAUUCAGUUUGAAGCAAGCUAGAAUGGGAUUACUCAGAUCAAUUUUCACUUUCCUCCUCCUUCGGAUGCAGGCGGGCUAAUUCGAAAACAUCUUCUGUGGAGACUCUAAGAGAUCUAAACUCAAAUGGGUGUAUGACCAGAUGCCCGAGCCAAGGUGGUGAUACUACCACUACUCAUACUCUGUUGGUAAGAGGUUGGGAUAGGAUCGUCCCGGUUGGCACCUAUGUCCCUGGUUGCCCAUCGACAGCCAACGCGCUCUUAUAUGGGCUUCUCUAGCUGCAGAAAAAGAUCAACCGACCCAAGGACUUCCAUCAUUGGUGGACCAAGUGAGGUUGGAUGUCCUUGCUGACUGAGGCUGUUAUGAGGAUAAUAGAGGUCAAGACUACUAGGAAGCCAAAGAGAAGAUUAUUCAGGUUCUGUUGGUCGCGGCUUCAUAUUCUUUCAGAAGGGGAUGGGGCAAAGGGUUGUGAUUCUAUUGUUGUGUGAGUUUUGGUGUCCAUACAGGUUCCAAAAGGGUGGGAGGGGUGUGUUUUGGUGUGUGUUUAACUGGGCUGCGGUUAAUAUUUGGUAUAUAGUGUGUUG
RNAcentral lists this long non-coding RNA (758 nucleotides) under Helianthus annuus (common sunflower). The record is from RNAcentral. Lineage: Eukaryota; Viridiplantae; Streptophyta; Magnoliopsida; Asterales; Asteraceae.